UACGUAGGUGGCAAGCGUUGUCCGGAAUUAUUGGGCGUAAAGCGCGCGCAGGCGGCCUUUUAAGUCUGAUGUGAAAGCCCCCGGCUCAACCGGGGAAGGUCAUUGGAAACUGAAGGGCUUGAGUACAGAAGAGGAAAGCGGAAUUCCACGUGUAGCGGUGAAAUGCGUAGAGAUGUGGAGGAACACCAGUGGCGAAGGCGGCUUUCUGGUCUGUAACUGACGCUGAGGCGCGAAAGCGUGGGGAGCAAACAGG
Molecule: ribosomal RNA, 253 nt
Filed under: uncultured bacterium
Lineage: Bacteria
Description: partial 16S ribosomal RNA
Rfam family: Bacterial small subunit ribosomal RNA
Source: RNAcentral